ACAGCAGCCGCCGCGGUAAUACAGAGGGUGCGAGCGUUAAUCGGAUUUACUGGGCGUAAAGCGUGCGUAGGCGGCUUUUUAAGUCGGAUGUGAAAUCCCUGAGCUUAACUUAGGAAUUGCAUUCGAUACUGGGAAGCUAGAGUAUGGGAGAGGAUGGUAGAAUUCCAGGUGUAGCGGUGAAAUGCGUAGAGAUCUGGAGGAAUACCGAUGGCGAAGGCAGCCAUCUGGCCUAAUACUGACGCUGAGGUACGAAAGCUUGGGGAGCAAACAGGAUUAGAUACCCCGGUAGUCCCUGUCUCUUAUAC
RNAcentral lists this ribosomal RNA (305 nucleotides) under uncultured bacterium. RNAcentral describes it as "partial 16S ribosomal RNA". It matches the Rfam family "Bacterial small subunit ribosomal RNA", at positions 508 to 807 of the family's 1533-position model. The record is from RNAcentral.